This 442-nucleotide ribosomal RNA is filed under the name uncultured Entrophospora. RNAcentral describes it as "SSU rRNA". It matches the Rfam family "Eukaryotic small subunit ribosomal RNA", at positions 569 to 1008 of the family's 1831-position model. Lineage: Eukaryota; Fungi; Glomeromycota; Glomeromycetes; Entrophosporales; Entrophosporaceae. The record is from RNAcentral.
AGCAGCCGCGGUAAUUCCAGCUCCAAUAGCGUAUAUUAAAGUUGUUGCAGUUAAAAAGCUCGUAGUUGAAUUUCGGGAUUGACACAUCGGUCGUGCCUUAAGGGGUAUGAACUGGUGUAGUCAAUUUCUCACCUUCUGGAGAACCGCGAUGUCCUUAAUUGGGUGCCGCGAGGAACCAGGACCUUUACUUUGAAAAAUUAGAGUGUUUAAAGCAGGCAUUUUUGCUUGAAUACAUUAGCAUGGAAUAAUAAAAUAGGACGGCAUGAUUCUAUUCUGUUGGUUUCUAGGAUCACCGUAAUGAUUAAUAGGGAUAGUUGGGGGCAUUAGUAUUCAAUUGUCAGAGGUGAAAUUCUUGGAUUUAUUGAAGACUAACUACCGCAAAAGCAUUUGUCCAAGGAUGUUUUCAUUAAUCAAGAACGAAAGUUAGGGGAUCGAAGACGAU